AGAAAAUAUGCAAAAUAUAUUAAAACAUAAGUAUGUACAUACGUUAUACACAUGAUUUUUUUAGACUGCAACAACUCAAUAUGUGUAUGCUGAAUAAAAAAAUAAUCAAUUCCUCAUCCAAUAACGAAAAUAUUACGAGUAGUCAUAAUAUCCACAAAAGCUAUAAUACUUGUGUUUCUACUUUAUUUUACUUUAUCUUUUUUACACAAAAAACAGAAAAUUAAAUGCAAACACCAUUAUUAAACGUCAAUCCAAUUGAUGGAUUUACUUCCUAUUAUCAGAUUGUUCAUAUAUAACGCAAUAUAAAAAAUACAUAGAUAUGCAUCAUUAAAAAGAAUCAAUAUUGCUAUAAUAAGAUAUUAAUCGUAUAUGUGAAUAUGAUUUUUAUCAAAAUAAAUCUGAGAUGCAAAGAACAGAAUAUUUCUAAGAAAUCUUCAAAAAGAGUGCUUAAAAGCGGACCUCGCUAGAUAUAAUUAAUCGACAUCGACAGCGAUCGAUUAGUGACGAAGUCGAUCAAUCAUUUCUAGAGAGAAUAAAGUAAUAACGUUUCGGGGUGACAGUGUACAUUAACGUGCGGCUUUAACGUUUAUUUUGAUACGGUCAGUGCGUAGACGUAGCUGUCAUUAUUAUUUGCGCGACACGUCCCGAAUCUGCAAGUAAUCGUGUGAAGUUUGUCGCGAACCGUCGCGUCGGUCGCGCGUGCCGUUGUCUUAUCGUCCGAAACGCGAGCGCGACAGGUUAGCGAUGAGUACGAGACGAGACGAAACGAGAAGAGAUCUUUUGUUUCGAUUGUUAGUUAAGGACUGCUAGACCGCGUACUAAAUAAAUUUUAAAAGUUGAGCAACAUCCGUAUUUAAUUAAGGAGCAAACAAUGAAUCGUACGAGCGUUUGACUAAUAUCGAGAGUGCCGCAAAGUGCUACGCGAUUGUAUUCUAAUAAUUCACACGUGUAACCGUGUCUCGGCGUUCCCGUGAGUGUUGUGUGAGUGCAAACCAUCUGAGAGGAGGAGGAGGCCUGGGUGGCAUCGGGUGACAGUGGAGCAACCAUGGACUCAAUAUUUUUUAUUCAACUCCACUGCUGCGCAUCGUAUCGAAAAUACUACCCGAUGAGAAGAAGCGAUACGCCGAUGAGAACGUACAAGCUCACCGUCUGUCAAUGCCGCCAAGAAACCAUUGGCUUCUCUUAAGUAGCACGAUGGCCGAGAUGCAAGGCUAACAUAAUCAACCGUACUUUCUCCAAAGACCACGGGAAAUGUUUGAACCCGGUAAUGAUUGCAGUUUCAAAUAAUUACGUUUUUAAGAAUACUUCUACAAUUUUAUUUUUCUUUAUAAUACUUGAUUAUUUAUGCUGACAACACAUGUUUAUUUAAUUAGCUAAAGGAGAAGAAUAGUUGAAUUAGAAUUUAGUACUUUAUAAGUAAUAGCUGAAGGAAAGUACAAGGAUACUGAAAUAUUGUACUUGCAAAAGUUUAUCAAGAGCUUUAUCACGAUUUAAUUAAUGAUUAUUCACUUAUAAUGAAAAAUUAUAACGAUUAUAUAAAUAAUUUUUUAUGCAAUUUAUGUCUUAUCAAUGGUCUAUUAAAUUUCUUUAACAAUCACAUUCUACAACAAUAUAACAAAUAAAAUGAGUCAUUAAUGAUAAUUAUAGCGGACUCUUUUGUCAAAAGUUUCUAAUUGCUUGUAAUUUAAUAUUUAUUAAUUUUAUAUUAAAAAAGAUUUUUGAUUGCCGAACAUCAUAACCUGAUCAUACAUGUAAUAAAUUUGCUUAUGCAAGUUAACAUAUACUUAUGAAGCAAACUAUAUCAAUAAUAAAACUUGUCACUUUGCAA
RNAcentral lists this long non-coding RNA (1828 nucleotides) under Monomorium pharaonis (pharaoh ant). Its description in RNAcentral is "uncharacterized LOC105829157, transcript variant X1". The record is from RNAcentral. Lineage: Eukaryota; Metazoa; Arthropoda; Insecta; Hymenoptera; Formicidae.